CUUGCAUCCGCCGGUGUGAGUGCUUUGUUGUUGCAUGGUUUCUUUGUUUCGUGGGUAAUCUUCGACAUCAUCUGCUUUUUUGGAGGUGGUGGUGGUUGGACGAGAAUUCUGCCACAAAGAAGAUUUGUAUGUGCUUCCAUUUGAAUCAUCACGCCUUGGCAUCCACAUUGUUUCCAAGCUCUCUGGCCUGAAAUGGUGGCGACUAACUGAUGUGAAAAAAUUGGUGAAAUUGCCUUUCAAGGGCCGUCACGUGGUUGUGCCAUUCCUCCACUGAUGUAUGCUUUUGGUGAGGGUCCGUGCCACAAUGUUUGCAAUUGCACACUUCACGGUAGAGAAUGAAAUUGAGGUUGUUCCUGCAUCUUGGGUAACUGGUACAACAUGCAAGUGGCCAAAGGUUUCAUCGGACAAGGCCAAAAAGUUGGUCAUGAAGUCAGCACCUCCUGAGGAAUCAUGGGAUGUGUACAAAGUCAUUGUACGUGGAAUUUACUCAAUGUAUUCAGAUGCCCGGAGUAAACUUAAUGACCUGCAAUACACCUCUGAUGUUAACUCUGAUUGUGAAGGGGAUGGAAGAAAGCGGAACCGCUUCCCACCAAAACGCUUUAUUGAAGACGACUCUGAGGAGCUCAUGCAAGAAACAGACAAGCAUUCACACCUUUCAUCAUCCCAACAUGUGGACCAGGACUUUUUGAAGUCACAUGAAG
Molecule: long non-coding RNA, 701 nt
Organism: Ornithodoros turicata
Lineage: Eukaryota; Metazoa; Arthropoda; Arachnida; Ixodida; Argasidae
Exons: 4
Source: RefSeq, a predicted model, not a curated record